CAUCGAUAAAUUUUGCUCUCUGAAACUAGAAAAAACUCUAUCAGUAGAAAAUUAAACUAGACUCUUAGUUCCUAUCCAGUUCUCCUCCAGUUCAAUUCAAUUUCUCUCUCUCUUCCCUUCUUUUCUACCUUUGUUCUCAAAGUUCGAACUGACUUAAGCAUCGAAGCAUCAAGAAUCAGAGGAUCCCCAUUCGAUUUUUUGACUGAU
This 207-nucleotide long non-coding RNA is filed under the name Elaeis guineensis (African oil palm). RNAcentral describes it as "long non-coding RNA (EGUI_LNC039295)". Lineage: Eukaryota; Viridiplantae; Streptophyta; Magnoliopsida; Arecales; Arecaceae. The record is from RNAcentral.